AUGAACAUGGCGCUUACCAAACCAGUUACCGAUGAGGAGGUGGGCGAUGCUUUAUUCCAAAUCGGGCUGCUUAAGGCACCGGGGCCAGACGGAUUCCCCGCGCUUUUCUAUCAAAGGAACUGGGGGUUUUUGAAAGCGGAUGUGGUGAAGGGAGUGAAGAAGUUUUUUGAUGAUGGGAUCAUGCCUGAAGGAGUGAAUGACACCACCAUUGUUCCUAUCCCGAAAAGUAAUAAUCCCUUGAGCAUUAAGGAUUACCGGCCCAUUAGCUUGUGCAACGUGAUAUACAAGGUGAUCUCAAAAAAUUUGGUCAACCGUUUACGCCAAUUCCUUGAUGAUAUCAUUUCAGAAACCCAAAGCGCAUUUAUUCCAGGGCGCAUGAUAACGGACAAUGCGAUCAUUGCAUUUGAAUGUUUCCACAAAAUAUAACACAGUAAGAAUCAGAGGGACAAUUUUUGUGCGUACAAGCUGGACUUGGCCAAAGCCUAUGGUCGAGUUGACUGGAAUUUCUUGGAGUGUACUCUACAAAAUAUAGGUUUUGAUCCAAAGUGGAUUAAUUGGGUGAUGACGUGCGUAAAAUCAGUUCGGUUCUCUGUCAAAUGCAAUGGGGAACUCCUGCAAAUGUUUUCACCGUCCAUAGGCCUACGACAAGGUGACCCACUAAGCCCGUAUUUGUUUCUGUUUGUGGCUGACGGUUUAUCCACUCUUCUAAACAGAGAGGUGAUGAGCGGCUCAUUGACACCCAUAAAGAUUGCUAGGGGAAGCCCCGGGAUCUCAAAUCUGCUCUUCGCUGAUGAUAGCUUGCUCUUCUUUAAAGCAAACAUGGACCAAGCUGUGAAAGUCCGAGAGGUGUUGGAAGUGUUCCAGAGAAGUACAUGGCAGCUCCCAAGUCAAGAUAAAUGCUCCCUUCUCUUUAGUGAAGCUAGCCAGGCCAAUGCCAGGGACAGAAUCAUGAGGACUUUGGGAGUAGUCUCAGCCUCAUUCGAGAGUAAGUAUUUAGGGCUCCCUACGCCAGAAGGUAGAAUGAAAAAUAAGAAAUUCCAGCCUAUUAUGGACAGGUUUAGCAAGAGAUGCAAUGUGCGGAAUGAAAGAUACAUGUCCCAAGCGGCUAAGGAGGUGCAUGUGAAAUCUGUUGCACAGGCCCUCCCAACCUUCACCAUGGGUGUGUUUAAACUAAACCAAAGCUUCUGUGACAAUUAUGAGAAGGUUAUUAGGGAUUUUUGGUGGGGAGAUAAAGAUGAGCAAAGGAAGUUACAC
RNAcentral lists this ribosomal RNA (1254 nucleotides) under Triticum aestivum (bread wheat). RNAcentral describes it as "partial small subunit ribosomal RNA". The record is from RNAcentral. Lineage: Eukaryota; Viridiplantae; Streptophyta; Magnoliopsida; Poales; Poaceae.